This is a long non-coding RNA of Hippopotamus amphibius kiboko, 318 nucleotides long. RefSeq lists it as uncharacterized. The transcript has 3 exons. Lineage: Eukaryota; Metazoa; Chordata; Mammalia; Artiodactyla; Hippopotamidae. The record is from RefSeq and is a predicted model, not a curated record.
GUCCUGCCGGAUGCUGGCAGGCCAGGGCCUAGGGGACGUUCUAAAAGCACGUUUUUAGACAGGUCGCGGCAUAAAUACCUGUGGAGUUACCCGUUUCUUCACUUCUGUGGCAGUACAAUAAGCACCCUCCUGAUUACGGCCCUACAAAGGAUAUACAAAACAGCUGGUUUUUGUAAGUACAUACCCACAGUUUAUAAGCCCACGGAAGCAGCUGAUUGACCUAAGCACUGGCUGCUGAAAAUCAUUGCAAGUAAAAAUGAUGUUGAGGUCAUCAAACUCCCAUUUAAAAGGUACCCUCCAUAUACCAGGAGAAAAGAA